GCCGGGAUGGCGAAACUGGUAGACGCAAAGGACUUAAAAUCCUUCGGCUGGCAACGGCUGUGACGGUUCGACUCCGUCUCCCGGCACCA
This 89-nucleotide transfer RNA is filed under the name Nitrospinota bacterium. RNAcentral describes it as "tRNA-Leu". It matches the Rfam family "tRNA". From Rfam's summary of the family: Transfer RNA (tRNA) molecules are approximately 80 nucleotides in length. Their secondary structure includes four short double-helical elements and three loops (D, anti-codon, and T loops). Lineage: Bacteria; Pseudomonadati; Nitrospinota. The record is from RNAcentral.